RNAcentral lists this long non-coding RNA (2723 nucleotides) under Lupinus angustifolius (narrow-leaved blue lupine). RNAcentral's name for it is "long non-coding RNA (LANG_LNC002039)". Lineage: Eukaryota; Viridiplantae; Streptophyta; Magnoliopsida; Fabales; Fabaceae. The record is from RNAcentral.
UCCUUCUCCACAUGUGCGUCCACAAAUUUAAUAAUUCAUUAGUACGUAAAGGCUUUACGAGGUAGUCGGCUGCUCCGAGUCUCAGACACUUAACAACAACAGAUACCUCAUCUUGUGCAGACAUCACUUAACAAAAACAUUAAAGACAUUGGUGAGGAACAGAAAAUAGUUUGGCUACAUAAAGAGUCUCACAGGUUGGUUACAAGAUAAAGAACCAAAGCUUACUUAUAACAGGAAUUCGGCGUAAUUCAUUAUCUCGCGCUAUGUACUUCAACAUCUUCAUUCCCAUCUUUAUUGGAAGGUCAACUUCAGCUAGUAUGAUAUCUAUAUGCUGUUCCUCAGCAUUCAGUGCAUCAAUCACUUGCCUUACUGACUUUACUGAAGUAACUGUAACACAUACAAAUCUCCAGUGUGUAGAAAUCUCAGAGAGCAUGCCAGCAUUUGCAGAAGUUUUACAUUAUACAAGCCAAACAGGAAUCAGAAAGCAUUCAAGAUAAUUUCAUUUAUAAACAUGGUGCACCUGAGUCGGCAUGCUGCUCCAAUCAUAUUUUUUGGUUUCCCACAGCUAUCCUCGCACUGGAGGCACUCCUGUCCGAGUUGGGAACAUACACAGCACUAAAGCAGAUCUCUAAAGCAUUAACAAAAUGUACUUAUUUUAAUUUUUCUUGAAUGUGGAGAGAAAGUAUAGGCCAAAAUUGGCUAAAAGAAGUUGAGAUUUAAAAAGAAAACAAUUUUUUAUAAUAGUUUAUGCAAUUUUAUGGUAUUCAAACAAGUUGACCUAUACUAUCAUAUGAAGUAACUAGUUGGGGAUAAAAUUGUAUAAUUUCAACUUCAAUAAUGGAGGAAAUUAUUAUUCAAUUCUAAAUCUUGGAAAAAUAGCAGCUGAAGGAAAAAUAGGAGCAUACCUGUUCGGCGAUCACUAAUUCCAGGCACACCAGGCUGAUAUUCUGAUACAUGAGCAUCUGGAAUCUCCUCAACAUCAUCAACAGCUACGGCAAUACUAGCCUGAAAAAGGUGAAUGAUACACAAACUGUAAUGUAACAUACAACUAUAACAUCUCUGGUCUGCACUUAAACACCAGCAGCUGGCCCGAAAAGGCAUCAGGGUGAUACUAGAAUUACAUUCAUAUGCACAUGCAAAAAAAAAACACCCACCCUCCUUUUCUGCACUUUUAUGUAAUCCAAUGGUACUAUACAGGUUGUGACUUUUUAAUUUAUGACUUCAAUUUUUGUGAAAAUAGCAUUUUUCCAAUAUAUUACCCAAGAACUUUCAUCAGAACUGUAGCUUAAGAUUCCCUUUGAAAACGCAAAAUUCAUUUACUUUUUACUCAAAAAAUUUACAGUACCUAUGACUUAUAGGGUUUAUAAUGCAAUCACUGUAUUAGCAUCAGAAUUGACAUCUCCUUUUCAUUUGAAAGGUGACAUGGAAAAUGAGAAGCAUGCAAUUAUAAAGAGUGCCACUCUAAAAGGUAGAAUAAUUUGCAAAACAAGCUCAAAGUAGAUUAAAAACACACUUUCUCCAUAUAAUCAAAUUAAUUUCAAGGUUCACCAUGGUGUACAACAGCACAAGGUCAUUAAUUUCUGGCCAUUUUUAACCUAUCACUUUAAUUAUAUAAUCACUGUAGUACUAUUUCAGUUUUUCUAUAACACUCACCUCUUGAACUUGUUGGAUUGAUAUCCCUGCCUCUGGAUUAGUGCUUCUUUUCGACUUAUCAUCUGUGUCAUCGGAGAACAAGGUGGUACUGGUCUUGUUGGCAUCACUUGGGUCUGAUGCUACCAGGUCAAAGUCAUAAUUUAAAAUGUUGUUCUCUACAAGUCCAAGCUGCCAGCAUAGAAUAAAACACUCAUUUCAAAGAUCUAAGUUGUGCAUUAGAAAACUUAGAGAAAAGUAUUGUACAACGGAAAAAUGCAAAUGACCAUGCACAGUAUGCAAUCAAGCUAGAGUAAAGGGGAGAGGUUACCCCAACAUUUUAUAUUCCCUUUAUGGUUCUUGCAUGUGAAGUCUCGUAGUAGAUCUAGGUGGAUAGUCCCCAUUUCCACAUUCUUCACAUAUGAUGAAAUCAUGUAGCAUUUUGUAAGGCAACAAUCAUAAGGUUCAUGCUUUCAUGAUCAUUUUAUUCAAUUUUAACUCACCUAAGAGUAGUCAAUGACAAAUUUACAAAUAUCGUCAGGCAUGCCAUGUUUAGAACACUUUAUUUUAUUUUAUUGAUAGCAAAACAAAAUCUUUUAAGUGUAAAAAGAAAGAGGAUAGCACAUCCUCAUCACAGAAAUAAGACAACAGAUAAGAAGUGAAAACAGGAGAUUCGAUCUUGUAACAAGGCAUGCCAAUCUCACUGUGUAUCAGCAUACAUCUUGUAUUGCCUAUCGUUAACUACAGUACUUGGAAACUAAUAAUGUUAUGGAUAAACACAAUAUGGUGAACAUCCAUGAAUAAGAAGUUGGGAAAUUAAUACCAUGCGUCUCCUUCUCCACAUGUGCGUCCACAAAUUUAAUAAUUCAUUAGUACGUAAAGGCUUUACGAGGUAGUCGGCUGCUCCGAGUCUCAGACACUUAACAACAACAGAUACCUCAUCUUGUGCAGACAUCACUUAACAAAAACAUUAAAGACAUUGGUGAGGAACAGAAAAUAGUUUGGCUACAUAAAGAGUCUCACAGGUUGGUUACAAGAUAAAGAACCAAAGCUUACUUAUAACAGGAAUUCGGCGUAAUUCAUUAUCUCGCGCU